CUUGACCGAGCCGAUCCACAGCGGCUCGUCCCGGUCCUGGCCGUAGGUGGCCAGCAGGGCGUUCGCCUC
This is a non-coding RNA of 69 nucleotides. It matches the Rfam family "ASpks TB sRNA". The record is from Rfam.